CCCUUAGAUGUUCUGGGCGGCCCGCGCACUACAUUGGCACUGGCAACAAGAUCCUAGAUCUGGUAUUUCGGGGUAUUCUACCAACUGGUGUCGUGACUGGGAUUAACCCCUGCAAUUAUUGGUUAUGAACGAGGAAUUCCUUGUAAUCACGGUUUAUCAACCCGUGUUGAAUGCGUCCCUGCCCUUUGUACACACCGCCCGUCGCUCCUACCGAUGAAUCGUCCGGUGAAGUUCAUGGAGUCGCGGCUGCUCCAGCUGUUUUCGAAGUGAAAUGGACCCCAUGAUUUAGAGGAAGGAGAAGUCGUAACA
Molecule: ribosomal RNA, 309 nt
Filed under: uncultured eukaryote
Lineage: Eukaryota
Description: partial 18S ribosomal RNA
Rfam family: Eukaryotic small subunit ribosomal RNA
Source: RNAcentral